GCCUUGUACGAGCCUCUUCUUUGUUCUGC
RNAcentral lists this non-coding RNA (29 nucleotides) under Homo sapiens (human). Lineage: Eukaryota; Metazoa; Chordata; Mammalia; Primates; Hominidae. The record is from RNAcentral.